Molecule: long non-coding RNA, 1055 nt
Filed under: Anas platyrhynchos platyrhynchos (common mallard)
Lineage: Eukaryota; Metazoa; Chordata; Aves; Anseriformes; Anatidae
Description: lncRNA (ENSAPLG00000018727.1)
Source: RNAcentral
AUGUGGAAAACGUCUAAAUUGGAAAUGUACCUAGAGGCCCAGGAUAAAAAGGUGACAAUCAGCAUAAAAGCUCUUUAUAUCCUGCUGGAUGUAUAUCCUGGUAGAAAAGAAGCCAGUCUUCGAUGUUUUAAACCUUAAGCCAUCUCUUAGGAGCUACUAAUGUGACAAUAUCCAGCUACAGAAUGGAUUGACAACAUGAAGGAAUACCCACAACUUCUGCGAAACAGAAACAGAUUUUUUUUUAAAUCAGGAGUCUGAUUUUUCCACAGCCAUGGUUUGCCAAUUAGAGCUGCCCAUUCUGGACAUUUAGAUACAAGCCUAAUGGAUAUUGUCCCCUAUGUUCCCUUCAGCCAGCUGAGCUCUGCCCUCUGCUGCUCCAGGACAUACUCCUUCCAGCACAGCAAGAGGUCUGCAUGCUCACCUGCAUCCCAGACAAGUAAAGGGAUGUAGCAGGUUUUGCAACAAAAGCUACAAUUCCAGCAACAAUUAUAAUGUCAGCACAGAAGUUACGUGUUCCAUGUAAAAUAGUCAAGGAAGAGAAAAAUGGUGCUCCAGUUGUACUUCAUGUGACCCCACAAAAUACCUGUGGACAGGCAUAACUGCUGAAAGCUGCGGCUGAGCUGGCAUCGGGAUGAUAGAAGCACCAGUGUGAGCUCUGCCACUCUGUUUAAAGCUGCAGGAAGUGCAAGGCUUUUGAAAGACCAGGUGUCUAUUCCCUUUAGUUUUUCCUACACCAUCUGCCUGACAAUCAGCAGCGAGGUGAAACUAAUGGCUUAAACAAGCAGACAAAUGGUUCUAAAUGCUGAUUUAGGAGGUUUAGUGCCUUUUCACCUAAACAUGAUCUUCACUGUUUACAAUUCAGAGGUGCUACCUGUCUGAUCAUUCCCCAUCCUCUACUUGCCAAGCUGUACGGCUUAAAAAGAAUAUCACAACUAAUACCAAGAUAGCAGCUAACAACAAAGCUGACUGAACUGGGGCUAAGGUGAAGAACUACUUUUAGUUAGCCUGCUGUUCCAGCUCAGCAGAAAAUAAAACAGUUUGCAGCUUUGGAUGCA